This 440-nucleotide ribosomal RNA is filed under the name uncultured bacterium. RNAcentral's name for it is "partial 16S ribosomal RNA". It matches the Rfam family "Bacterial small subunit ribosomal RNA", at positions 338 to 795 of the family's 1533-position model. The record is from RNAcentral.
CCUACGGGAGGCAGCAGUGGGGAAUAUUGGACAAUGGGGGAAAGCCUGACGCAGCGACGCCGCGUGAGGGAAGAAGGAAUUCGGUAUGUAAAGCUCUAUCAGCAGGGAAGAAAAUGACGGUACCUGAGUAAGAAGCCCCGGCUAAAUACGUGACAGCAGCCCCGGUAAAACGUAGGGGGCAAGCGUUAUCCGGAUUUACUGGGGGUAAAGGGGGCGUAGACGGCGGUGCAAGUCUGGAGUGAAAGGUGGGGGCUCAACCCCCGGACUGCGGUGGAAACUGGACGGCUGGAGUGCCGGAGAGGUAAGUGGAAUGCCUGGUGUAGCGGUGAAAUGCGUAGAUAUUAGGAGGAACACCAGUGGCGAAGGCGGCUUACUGGACUGUAACUGACGUUGAGGCUCGAAAGCGUGGGGAGCAAACAGGAUUAGAUACCCCUGUAGUC